AGAGUUUGAUCCUGGCUCAGGAUGAACGCUGGCGGCGUGCCUAAUACAUGCAAGUCGAACGCUUUGUGGUUCAACUGAUUUGAAGAGCUUGCUCAGAUAUGACGAUGGACAUUGCAAAGAGUGGCGAACGGGUGAGUAACACGUGGGAAACCUACCUCUUAGCAGGGGAUAACAUUUGGAAACAGAUGCUAAUACCGUAUAACAAUGACAACCGCAUGGUUGUUACUUAAAAGAUGGUUCUGCUAUCACUAAGAGAUGGUCCCGCGGUGCAUUAGCUAGUUGGUAAGGUAAUGGCUUACCAAGGCGAUGAUGCAUAGCCGAGUUGAGAGACUGAUCGGCCACAAUGGGACUGAGACACGGCCCAUACUCCUACGGGAGGCAGCAGUAGGGAAUCUUCCACAAUGGGCGAAAGCCUGAUGGAGCAACGCCGCGUGUGUGAUGAAGGGUUUCGGCUCGUAAAACACUGUUGUAAGAGAAGAAUGACAUUGAGAGUAACUGUUCAAUGUGUGACGGUAUCUUACCAGAAAGGAACGGCUAAAUACGUGCCAGCAGCCGCGGUAAUACGUAUGUUCCAAGCGUUAUCCGGAUUUAUUGGGCGUAAAGCGAGCGCAGACGGUUAUUUAAGUCUGAAGUGAAAGCCCUCAGCUCAACUGAGGAAUUGCUUUGGAAACUGGAUGACUUGAGUGCAGUAGAGGAAAGUGGAACUCCAUGUGUAGCGGUGAAAUGCGUAGAUAUAUGGAAGAACACCAGUGGCGAAGGCGGCUUUCUGGACUGUAACUGACGUUGAGGCUCGAAAGUGUGGGUAGCAAACAGGAUUAGAUACCCUGGUAGUCCACACCGUAAACGAUGAGUGCUAGGUGUUUGAGGGUUUCCGCCCUUAAGUGCCGCAGCUAACGCAUUAAGCACUCCGCCUGGGGAGUACGACCGCAAGGUUGAAACUCAAAGGAAUUGACGGGGACCCGCACAAGCGGUGGAGCAUGUGGUUUAAUUCGAAGCAACGCGAAGAACCCUACCAGGUCUUGACAUCCCUUGACAACUCCAGAGAUGGAGCGUUCCCUUCGGGGACAAGGUGACAGGUGGUGCAUGGUUGUCGUCAGCUCGUGUCGUGAGAUGUUGGGUUAAGUCCCGCAACGAGCGCAACCCUUAUUACUAGUUGCCAGCAUUCAGUUGGGCACUCUAGUGAGACUGCCGGUGACAAACCGGAGGAAGGUGGGGAUGACGUCAAAUCAUCAUGCCCCUUAUGACCUGGGCUACACACGUGCUACAAUGGCGUAUACAACGAGUUGCCAACCCGCGAGGGUGAGCUAAUCUCUUAAAGUACGUCUCAGUUCGGAUUGUAGGCUGCAACUCGCCUACAUGAAGUCGGAAUCGCUAGUAAUCGCGGAUCAGCACGCCGCGGUGAAUACGUUCCCGGGUCUUGUACACACCGCCCGUCACACCAUGAGAGUUUGUAACACCCAAAGCCGGUGGGGUAACCUUCGGGAGCCAGCCGUCUAAGGUGGGACAGAUGAUUAGGGUG
This 1519-nucleotide ribosomal RNA is filed under the name Weissella confusa. Its description in RNAcentral is "bacterial SSU rRNA". It matches the Rfam family "Bacterial small subunit ribosomal RNA". Lineage: Bacteria; Bacillati; Bacillota; Bacilli; Lactobacillales; Lactobacillaceae. The record is from RNAcentral.